UGGAGCUCCUCAGAGCGGGUGAGAGAAUGUCGAGCGGAGCAAACUAACAGAGUUAGUGGGUGUGUGAGGAGGAAUGGAGCCAGCGGAGUGGGCUGGGAGGCUUCAUAAAGACACAGUGCAGGCCGCAGACUCUAAAUAACAAGGGUGUUAGAAGAGGAGGGCAAACUCGAGGGAGAUGAGAAACCAAAACCAAACAUCACGUCAAAAUCUGAAUGUCACUUGUUUGACCAGGACCUGAAUAUCAUCAACCUUUGAAUAUACCAGCAUCUAUUGUGAUUGCCAGUUGCCUGUGGAGAAGAUGAUGUUUGACCUUCUUGAACCGCUGCAGUCCGUGUGGUGAAGGUGCUCGCACAAUGCUGUUAGAGAAUUACAAGGGGAGGAUUUUCAGGCAGGAAACUCAAACCAAACAUCACAUCAAGAUCUGACAGAGUCACUCGAUUCAUCAGGACCUGAAUAUCAUCACCUUUGAAUGUGGAGGGAGAAAUGUUUGUCUGCUCUGUCUGUGGGAAAAUGUUUCAAACAUCAG
This is a long non-coding RNA of Carcharodon carcharias (great white shark), 526 nucleotides long. RefSeq lists it as uncharacterized. The transcript has 4 exons. The record is from RefSeq and is a predicted model, not a curated record. Lineage: Eukaryota; Metazoa; Chordata; Chondrichthyes; Lamniformes; Lamnidae.